This 96-nucleotide transfer RNA is filed under the name Actinomadura madurae. RNAcentral's name for it is "tRNA-Arg(gcg)". Lineage: Bacteria; Bacillati; Actinomycetota; Actinomycetes; Streptosporangiales; Thermomonosporaceae. The record is from RNAcentral.
UCGCCGCGGUGGGCCGCUUGCCCGCGAGCCGCGAGCCCGCGGCGCGCAGCCGCCGGCGUGCCGCCCGCCGGGCGCGGGUGCCGGCCCGGCGGCCCA